This 238-nucleotide ribosomal RNA is filed under the name uncultured bacterium. RNAcentral describes it as "partial 16S ribosomal RNA". It matches the Rfam family "Bacterial small subunit ribosomal RNA", at positions 94 to 334 of the family's 1533-position model. The record is from RNAcentral.
AGCGGCGGACGGGUGAGUAACGCGUGGGUAACCUGCCUCAUACAGGGGGAUAACUACUGGAAACGGUAGCUAAUACCGCAUAACGUCGCAAGACCAAAGAGGGGGACCUUCGGGCCUCUUGCCAUCGGAUGUGCCCAGAUGGGAUUAGCUAGUAGGUGGGGUAACGGCUCACCUAGGCGACGAUCCCUAGCUGGUCUGAGAGGACGACCAGCCACACUGGAACUGAGACACGGUCCAG